GCCAGCCUGGUGUAGUGGCUUGAGCAUUGGACUCCCAAUUCUGGAGACCAGGGUUCGAUUCCCUUCUCAGCCA
This is a non-coding RNA of Phrynosoma platyrhinos (Desert horned lizard), 73 nucleotides long. Lineage: Eukaryota; Metazoa; Chordata; Lepidosauria; Squamata; Phrynosomatidae. The record is from the annotation of a GenBank genome assembly.